UCCUCAGGAUUGGCUCGUUUGAGU
Molecule: non-coding RNA, 24 nt
Filed under: Arabidopsis thaliana (thale cress)
Lineage: Eukaryota; Viridiplantae; Streptophyta; Magnoliopsida; Brassicales; Brassicaceae
Source: RNAcentral